GAUGAAGAACGUAGCGAAAUGCGAUAAGUAAUGCGAAUUGCAGAAUUCCGUGAGUCAUCGAAUCUUUGAACGCACAUUGCGCCCGCCAGUAUUCUGGCGGGCAUGCCUGUUCGAGCGUCAUUUCAACCAUCAAGCCCCAGGCUUGUGUUGGGGACCUGCGGCUGCCGCAGGCCCUGAAAACCAGUGGCGGGCUCGCUGUCACACCGGGCGUAGUAGAUUUUAUCUCGCUCAGGGCGUGCUGCGGGUUCCGGCCGUUAAAAAGCCUUUUUUACCCAAGGUUGACCUCGGAUCAGGUAGGAAGACCCGCUGAACUUAAGCAUAUCAAUAAGCGGAGGA
This 336-nucleotide unclassified non-coding RNA is filed under the name soil metagenome. RNAcentral's name for it is "partial contains 5.8S ribosomal RNA, internal transcribed spacer 2, and large subunit ribosomal RNA". The stretch from base 1 to 120 matches the Rfam family "5.8S ribosomal RNA", at positions 35 to 154 of the family's 154-position model. The record is from RNAcentral.